CAGAGUUGCAAAACUCCCUAAACCAUUGUGAACCUACCCCUAAACAGUUGCUUCGGCGGCGCCCGGACAGGCCCGCCGGAGACCAUUAAACUCUUGUUUUUUAACACUGGCCUCUCUGAGUUUACUGUACUGUAAUAAGCCA
RNAcentral lists this unclassified non-coding RNA (142 nucleotides) under soil metagenome. Its description in RNAcentral is "partial internal transcribed spacer 1". The record is from RNAcentral.